Long non-coding RNA from Vicia villosa (hairy vetch), 2107 nucleotides. RefSeq lists it as uncharacterized. NCBI's taxonomy places the organism in Eukaryota, Viridiplantae, Streptophyta, Magnoliopsida, Fabales, Fabaceae. The transcript is spliced from 3 exons. The record is from RefSeq and is a predicted model, not a curated record.
GCACGAAUGUACUUGUCAAAGGUGGUGAUCUCCCUAAUUCUUCAGAUGCUAUUGAUGUAUUUUUUGAUGGUCAGGAAUUCUACGAGCUUUCUUCACCACGUGUAAAUACUCGCAAUACUCAUGGCACUGGUUGUACUUUGGCAUCAUGCAUUGCAGCAGAGCUGGCAAAAGGUUCAUCAAUGCUUUCAGCGGUUAAGGUUUGUUUAGCUCUUUCAUUUCACAUAAAUAUCGGAGGACCUAAUUUUCAAUGACCAUGAUUAUUCACUCUCCUUAUUACUUUAAAAAUACAAUAGAGUAGAGCAAAUGAAAAUAAAAAAUAGAAUGCAUUAUCGUUAACACUUGUACAUAUAAGACCUGGUUAUAGGAAAUGGAGCCCAAGGCCCUUUUGACCAUUUUUUGGCAUUUAAGAAUAUCAGUCAGAGUUCUUGUAGGCAGGAUAGGUUCAAUCCCAAUGACUUAUUUCUAUAUGCUGUAACCGAUUCACGCAUAAAUAAGAGGUGGGGCCGUUCUAUUGCUGAAGCCGUUAAGGCGGCUGUAGAAGGGGGUGCUACCAUUGUCCAAUUAAGAUGCUUCGGAACUUUAGAAAAGAUGGACACAACUGGAAAAAGAAAAAGGAUGGAAAAACUGUUAAGGAAGCUCAUGAGCACUUAAAAGUGAGGGUUUUCAUUUUAUUGAGUGUUUAUAUUUGUGUUAAUUUAAAGUUUAUAAUAUCAACUAGCAAGUUGUAUUCAGUUUCUUCAAAAUAUUAUACAAGGAUGUUAUUUGAUCUAUUUAAUGUGCUAUCUCCGCUUUGUAUGUUCUACAGUUUUCGCACAAUGAUUCGAUCACAUAUGUAUCAGUGUUAAUUGUUUCUGGUUAAUAUUUGAAGAAUAGAUUAUGUUUCUUCUCUUAAUCUCACCAUUCAUCAGAUAGGAUGUUUAUUAUGCAUGAUAACAUUUCCUUCAUCCAUUUUUUGCUAUUAUUGAUUCUGAUUAUAGAUUUGAGUGAUAAUGUCGUAUCAUAUCUGAUUUCUGAUCAUUCUUUUCUUUUCUCUAUCAAUCAAGUUGGUAAUGAAGAAAGGAUCCAUGUAUAUUAUGCACAUGGUCAAGAUAACCCAAACUUUGUCCGUAGAUGUUAUUGGCUGCUUGAUAAGUAUGUAAACCAAUUGUUAACUUAACUAUUAAUCCCUGGCUCCAACAUGUCAUUCAUUUCCACAUUUCUGAAUUAUAUUUUAGAAAUGGUGCUUCUCAACUUCUUGUACAUAAUGGUUUGAGAAUAUAAUUAAUUGAUUAGAAUAACUUUGCAUAAAAUAAUGUGACUUACAAUUGUUUGCACCAUCUUUUUUUCAGGAGUCUGGAACACAUUGUCCUAGUUCAUUACCGUGAAACACGGGAGGUUUGUGUAAAUCACUUUCUUUUCCUUCCAAAAAGUCUAAAUUUACUUCAAAACCAUAACUUAUAUAUGCCAUUGUGUAUAUUGUUUUAGCUGAUAGAAAGACCAUAUAUGUAUGCUGUCAUUAGUCAGUUUGUAACUCAUUGGUUCUUGGGUUGGAAACUAGCGAUUUGAACAUGUAUGGACUCUGGAUACACCAAUAAUCAACUCCCAUAUUAUUUUUUUACAGCAAAAAUGUAAUUUCAAUCUGUCUGGUUGGAAAUUUAAUUUGUUCUGUGUGUGCCGUGCGUAGUCUCUUUUGUUUUUGGGUGUUAAGAAGCAGCUUGUGUACCUCUAUUUACCAUUACAUUCCUGAGAAGGUAUAAUCCAAGUCCAACAUCGGAUCUGUAGGCUUAACAGAUUUGAUGAUUGAUAAUGGUUGCUUUUCGCGAUUUUGAUUGAAGGAAUUGCGACACUGAUCGUGGUCGUCGCGGUGUGAAUUAACCCCAAUUUUUGGUGAAUAACAGUAUUUUAUCAAAUGGUUGAAAAUCAAAAGGUUGAGGAGCAAAAUCUACUAGAUCAAAUGCAAAUGGUUGAAGAGGAUAAGGAGAUAGAAAUGUUGCCAAAACAAAAGCCAAAGAAGAAGAAGAAGAAAACUUAUAUAUGAAGAAAGUGUUAUGACUUAGUUAAAAUAUAAUUUUUAUGUGUAUGAUUUUAUAGUACUUGAAAUAUUAUGACUGCACAUGAUUUUGUAUAC